RNAcentral lists this ribosomal RNA (484 nucleotides) under Partecosta fuscolutea. Its description in RNAcentral is "partial 16S ribosomal RNA". It matches the Rfam family "Bacterial large subunit ribosomal RNA", at positions 1851 to 2598 of the family's 2925-position model. The record is from RNAcentral. Lineage: Eukaryota; Metazoa; Mollusca; Gastropoda; Neogastropoda; Terebridae.
AGUCGNNCCUGCCCGGUGAAUUUUUUAACGGCCGCGGUACUCUGACCGUGCAAAGGNNNNNUAAUCAUUUGCCUUAUAAUUGAAGGCUAGUAUGAAUGGUUUGACAAGAAUAUAGCUGUCUCUAUAUAAUUUAAUAGAAUUUUAUGUUUAGGUGAAAAAGCCUAGAUUUAAUUAAAAGACAAGAAGACCCUAUCGAGCUUUAAAAGAAUUAAUGGAGAAGAUUUUAAUAUUAAUAAAAAAAUUUGCUAUUAAAUAUUUUGGUUGGGGCGACUGAGGAACAUUAAAAGCUUCCUUUUAUAUAUUUAAACAUACAGGUAUUGAUCCAUAGUUUGUGAUUAAAGAAAUUAGUUACCGUAGGGAUAACAGCAUUAUCUUUUUUGAGAGCUCUUAUUGAAAAAAAGGUUUGUGACCUCGAUGUUGGACCAGAAUGUCCUAAAGAUGCAGAAGUCUUUAAGGGUUGGUCUGUUCGACCAUUAAAAUUCUA